GGCGGCGCUGGUCCGCGUUCCGGCAGUCGCCGUUCUGGCCGGCCACCGUGCUGGUGCUGAUCCUCGCCGCCGCCGC
This 76-nucleotide transfer RNA is filed under the name Streptomyces parvulus. Its description in RNAcentral is "tRNA-Gln(ctg)". Lineage: Bacteria; Bacillati; Actinomycetota; Actinomycetes; Kitasatosporales; Streptomycetaceae. The record is from RNAcentral.